Molecule: ribosomal RNA, 382 nt
Filed under: Bacillus safensis
Lineage: Bacteria; Bacillati; Bacillota; Bacilli; Caryophanales; Bacillaceae
Description: bacterial SSU rRNA
Rfam family: Bacterial small subunit ribosomal RNA
Source: RNAcentral
AGCGAACAGGAUAAGAUACCCGGGUAGUCCACGCCGUAAACGAUGAGUGCUAAGUGUAAGGGGGUUUCCGCCCCUAAGUGCUGAGCAAACGCAUAAGCACUCCGCCUGGGGAGUACGGUCGCAAGACUGAAACUCAAAGGAAUGGACGGGGGCCCGCACAAGCGGUGGAGCAUGUGGUUAAUUCGAAGAACGCGAAGAACCUUACCAGGUCUGGACAUCCUCUGACAACCCAAGAGAUAGGGCUUUCCCUUGGGGGAAAGAGUGACAGGUGGUGCAUGGUGUGUCAGCUCGUGUCGUGAGAUGUUGGGUUAAGUCCCGCAACGAGCGCAACCCUUGAUCUUAGUUGCCAGCAUUUAGUUGGGCACUUAAGGUGACUGCCGGU